AUACGGAGGGAGCAAGCGUUAUUCGGAAUCACUGGGCGUAAAGCGCGCGCAGGCGGCUAUUUAAGUUGGAUGUGAAAGCCUACGGCUCAACCGUAGAACUGCAUCCAAAACUAUUUAGCUAGAGUGUGGGAGAGGAAGAUGGAAUUAGUUGUGUAGGGGUAAAAUCCGUAGAGAUAACUAGGAAUACCAAAAGCGAAGGCAAUCUUCUGGAACACUACUGACGCUGAGGCGCGAAAGCGUGGGGAGCAAACAGGAUUAGAAACCCCAGUAGUCC
RNAcentral lists this ribosomal RNA (274 nucleotides) under uncultured bacterium. Its description in RNAcentral is "partial 16S ribosomal RNA". It matches the Rfam family "Bacterial small subunit ribosomal RNA", at positions 523 to 796 of the family's 1533-position model. The record is from RNAcentral.